UACGGGGGGGGCAAGCGUUGUUCGGAAUUACUGGGCGUAAAGGGCUCGUAGGUGGCCAACUAAGUCGGACGUGAAAUCCCUCGGCUUAACCGGGGAACUGCGUCCGAUACUGGUUGGCUUGAGUUUGGGAGAGGGAUGCGGAAUUCCAGGUGUAGCGGUGAAAUGCGUAGAUAUUGGGAGGAACACCAGUGGCGAAGGCGGCUACCUGGACCGGUUCUGACGCUGAGGCGCGAAAGCGUGGGGAGCAAACAGG
This 253-nucleotide ribosomal RNA is filed under the name uncultured bacterium. RNAcentral describes it as "partial 16S ribosomal RNA". It matches the Rfam family "Bacterial small subunit ribosomal RNA", at positions 524 to 776 of the family's 1533-position model. The record is from RNAcentral.